RNAcentral lists this ribosomal RNA (471 nucleotides) under Triticum aestivum (bread wheat). Its description in RNAcentral is "partial small subunit ribosomal RNA". The record is from RNAcentral. Lineage: Eukaryota; Viridiplantae; Streptophyta; Magnoliopsida; Poales; Poaceae.
AUGAACUGCAGCGCAUGUGUCCCCGUUGACCCUCCACGCCAACGCGGGCCAGCCUCCACCGACGCCUCCCUCUGGCCCAGAUCCACAGCGCCCCGAGGGAGGCACAGAUCUCAACGAUGGCCAAUGUAUGCGGCGGCCGGGGAUGCACGGUGGGGAGAGAUGGUUUGGAGGGUGGCGCGCGGCGACUGGGGACGCACGCUGGGGAUAGAUGGUGGAGGAGGGUGGCACGCGCCUCGCCCAGGCCUCCUUCCACGCCGCAGCGGCGGAGUCCAAGCGCUCAUCAUGAGGACGCACGGGCGAGGAGGAUUUGGCGAGCUCCGGCGCCGAUUCCGUUGGUUCCGGCGAGCUCCGGCGCCGAUUCGUUUGGCUCCGGCGAGCUCCGGCGCCGAUUCGUUUGGCUCCGGCGAGCUCAUCCCCCUCCUACAGAGGGUGUUUUUUAAAUCGUUGGCCCGGCAUUUUUUUAACACUUGA